RNAcentral lists this long non-coding RNA (633 nucleotides) under Sus scrofa (pig). RNAcentral's name for it is "lncRNA (ENSSSCG00060053161.1)". The record is from RNAcentral. Lineage: Eukaryota; Metazoa; Chordata; Mammalia; Artiodactyla; Suidae.
GGGAGGUUGGAACCAAAAAAACAAGAAAGCCAGCCAAGUGGAGAGAAGUACAUUUUCUACAGAUUGGAAGAAAAAGUUGGCACCAAUUCUUGUGUCCAUGGCCUUUUACUUCUGGCCUAGAGCUGGCAUUUAAUUUGAAUUUUACUAGCACACAAAAUCAAAUGCAGCAACCUGAUUUUCCCAAUUCAGGGUAUUUAAUUUAAAAAAGCUUACAAGUUGAAUAAGUGGCUUUUCAAAAUAUGGCAGAGCUUCUUCUCAUCAAGAUUAGUGAGAGACUGAGCCAAUCUACUAUCCCCACAGGUGAGCUCUAACUACCAAAAGUACUGGUUACCUCAAGUAUUGCUCUGCUUUGUGAAUUUCUUCCUCAGUCCUGUUGCUAAUCAACUCCCACUCUCUUUUUUUUUUUCCUUCUCUUUCUCUCUUUCUUUGUCUCUCUGUCUCAAUCUCUCAGUUUCUUUCUCUCUCUCUCUCUUUCUCUCAUCUUUGCAAUUGAAGAUUUUUGCUGCCAUGGCCACCGGAACCAUAGCAAUGUACAGAAAUGUCCAAUUAUUUGGGCAGAGGGCAGUCAAGCCUAUGCUGAAUUGUAGACACUGCUGUGUUCCUGCACCUGUUUCAGUUAUCAGAGUCUCCUAA